UACAGAGGUCCCAAGCGUUGUUCGGAUUCAUUGGGCGUAAAGGGUGCGUAGGCGGCGCGGUAAGUCGGGUGUGAAAUCUCGGAGCUUAACUCCGAAACUGCAUUCGAUACUGCCGUGCUUGAGGACUGGAGAGGAGACUGGAAUUUACGGUGUAGCGGUGAAAUGCGUAGAUAUCGUAAGGAAGACCAGUGGCUAAGGCGGGUCUCUGGACAGUUCCUGACGCUGAGGCACGAAGGCCAGGGGAGCAAACGGG
This 253-nucleotide ribosomal RNA is filed under the name uncultured bacterium. RNAcentral's name for it is "partial 16S ribosomal RNA". It matches the Rfam family "Bacterial small subunit ribosomal RNA", at positions 524 to 776 of the family's 1533-position model. The record is from RNAcentral.